GUCGUUCAGUCUCCUCACCGCCACCACCGACCCAGCUCCGCCUCUCCCUCCGACAACCACCUUGUACAGUAUCCCGCUCCUCCCUUUCCCGGCCACGUAAGCCGACGCCCUCAGCAGAUCCUCUAGCUCCAAACAGAACCCUUCAUCCAUCACCACGAAUUUACCAUUCUGCCUAUCCUCUUCCUCCUCCUUCAUUGCCUCAUCACCGUGGACGAUAAUGUUCGUUUCCUUUCUGCUCCCUUUAGCUUCUUCUUCGUCUUUACACGUUUUGCCUUUCUCCGUCGCCGUCGCCACGUAUUUCCUCCGGACUAGCCAGGCAGACACUGUGAUCGCCCCGAUCACCACCGUCACCCC
RNAcentral lists this long non-coding RNA (354 nucleotides) under Linum usitatissimum (flax). RNAcentral describes it as "long non-coding RNA (LUSI_LNC001605)". The record is from RNAcentral. Lineage: Eukaryota; Viridiplantae; Streptophyta; Magnoliopsida; Malpighiales; Linaceae.